CUUGGGGCCAGCCCCUCCCGCCGUGCUGGACCGCGCAUCGGCUUGGAGGCCCCUCGGGGCUGCCGCCGGUGCGGGAGACGUCCGCGGCCGUGCGGGCUGGGGACCGAGCGGCGGUUUCCGGCGCAGGAUCUGAGUCGCCGUCGAUGGAUUUCGCGUAGCCUGGCUUCUUUUUCUUUGGAUCCGGUGCGUGCGUGCAAGCUCUCUCUCUCUCUCUCUCUCUCUCUCUCUCUCUCUCUCUCUCGGUGCGUGCGUGCGUGCGCGCAUUGCACACCACUAGACCCAAACCCUAAACCAAAUCAGGGGAGCUCUCGUUGCCGGAUCGCUGGCCUAUGUCCGCCGCGUCAGUUCCCCACAGCUAUGGUGCCGCCAGCUACCGUCGUUCCAUUGCCCUGGAUUCGGCUGUGCGCGUGGGCUGGGAACCGUUCCCUGUUGUCUGAUGCGUCGUUGGAGCGGGAAGUUUGGUCGGUCGAGGGCCAGGUAUGAGCAGCUCCUGAGCUGGAUGGAUGGAUGCAGGUCAUGUGUCGUGAACUAACACCACGACACCUCUUUUGGAACGGAGGGAGUAUAUUUUGGAACGGAGGGAGUAUGUAUGUACGUAUGGAUAUCAUGGUCAUGUUGCUUGGGGGUUCAACCUCUUUUUUGGAUAAAGAAGAGGGGCGAUGCCCAUAAUUAUGACUGGCUGAAAUAAUCAUGUCUUUGAGACAUCAAGACAGCCGUGGCAAGGUGGGACUAAAUAGUGUCUGAAAGUGGGUAUCUGCGUUGGAGUUGCUCUUAGAGCCCACCCUUACCUCUGUUGCAGCCUGUCCAAUUCAUCGCCAAUGUUGGAUGUUCUGUGCCUUGGACGGUUGUUCUGAUGAGGGCAUGUACAUUGGUUCAGUCGGAAACCAUCGGCAGCAUGCGGCCAUCUCAGUGAUAACCAGGGCUGUUCUCUUACAUUGUGAUGUGUGGAUUAUGCAGCAAGAGAUGUGGGUGUUGGGUUUGAAGAUUAAAUGCUAAACUGAGACCUCUCUUGCUAUGCUACAUAUACUCAGUUCAGUUGCAUUUUGUUCUGGAUUUGGCAUGGAUCCUCUUCACCUCCCCCCCCCUCUCUCUCUCUCACACACACACACACACACACUCACACUCACCCUAAAACAAAUCAGUCAAGCUCUCAUUGCGACUCGCUGACCCGUCGUCUGUCUGGGGGGCUGCAACAUCAGUUCCUCGAAUCUACGGUGCUGCCAGCCACCGCCAUUCCAUUGUGCCUUGGAUUUGGUUGUGGCGUGGGCUGGGAACCGUACAGUGUUGUCUGAUGUGUCAUACGAGCCGGAGGUUUGGUCAGCUGACGCCGGGCAUGAGCAGCUCCUGAGAUUGUCUAAGUUACUCACCACUAUGACCAGUCUGAUGGAUGGAUGGAUGGAUGCUACUGUGUGAUGAAGAGAUGGAGUUCUUACCAGGGGCGAUGAUGAUGACCAUGGCUGAAAUAAGCAUGUCUUGAGCAACUAAGACAGCUGUGGUCUGUGGCUACUAAAUUAGAGCGCACCCUUACCUCUCUUGCAGCAAUUCAAUUCAUAGCUAAUGUUGGAUGUUCUGUGCCUUGGACGGUCAUUCUGAUGAAUGAUAACCAGGACAGUCCUCUUACAUCGCCAUGGGUAGAUUAUGCAGCAAGCUAUGUGAGUGUUGGGCUUUAAGAUGAAAGGCAAAACUGAGCCCUCUUAUGCUACGCAACAAAUAUUUGAUUUUACCUUCUUUAAUAUGCAUUGUUUUUUCUUUUCUAUUCCUCUCUAUUGUGUUGAUGUGAGUAACGACCCAUCUGGACUUGGAUUGAUGUCUUCUGAACACAGCAUAUUUGUUUCCGUUGUGUGUUGAUGAGUUCUAUUCUUUUCUGAAUGGCUAUGAUGAUUUUCUCCCCUUAGGUGUUGGAGAUCUUUCAGCAUAUCCUGAGAUAGAGAUGCUUUCAAGUCUUCUAAAUUGGUUCCAUUCAACUUUGCCCAGUUAGACAGUUAGUCGUUAUACUAGGAGGCCUUGCUCUGCAGCAAGUUACCAGUUGCGGCUAUUUGUUGCUGGGCUGGGAACCAGAGAGAGAGAGAGAGAGAGGGAGAUGGUAAGGAGACCUGAAGGAUUGGAAUAUCACGAAAGAACUAGCAAUGGACAGGGGUGCAUGGAAAUUAGCUAUCCACGUGCCUACCCCAACUUGUUUGGGACUGAAAGGCUUUGUUGUUGUUGUUGUUUGGUACCGUAAGGCUUCAAGUACUACCUGAAACAUUGUCCAACUUUGGUGAUUUAUGGUGGGUUAAAUCUGAGCCAUUCAAGUAAUACUCCACAAUUUUCCUGGAUUUUACGAACUAUUCCUCAUGCCUGUGUUUGUUAUGACACCUGUGCUGAUACUUCUACUACUGUUUGAUUAUUAGUAAUUUGAUCAGUGAGUACUUCUGGAAUGUACUCCUGAAAACAGCUUGAUUUCCCUACUAACUCUCUUUGUUUCUUCUUGAUUUGAAGAAUACCCGUUUGGCAACUGUGAAUGGUCAUGGCCCAUUGUGAAAAUUAAGUUAUAUAUAUUCUGUACAUUGUGGUCCUGUUACUUGAAAAAGAAACCUAUGGCUUUGGUUUGUCUAAAAAAAAACCCUAUGGCUUUGUUUCUUUGUGUGGACGCUUUGGUUUGUCUCAAAAAAAAAACCCUAUGGCUUUGGUUCUUUGUGUGGACCUUCUGGGAAGGUGAGAUGGCGUGAAAUCUUUUUAUCGAACCAAUUUAAAAGCAGAUUCUUAUUGAUACCAUUUUUCAGUUUUGUGGUCCUAUUUUCGCAUCCAUUGUCAAUUUUUCUGUUGAUAUUUGCCAUUGUAGUCCUCCUUAACUUCCACCAUUGAUGCUUGCCAUCUCGUCGCCGCCCCUAUCCCGCUUGCCUUGGCCGAUGAUCGUGCGCGUUGGCUGGGGCCGCGUCCCUCCCCAGACGGCGGCGAUAUACUCAGCUCAGUUGCAUUUUGUUUUGGAUUCGGGAUGGAUCCUCCUCAUCUCUCUCUCUCUCUCUCUCUCUCAAACUCUAAAACAAAUCAGUCAAGCUCUCAUUGCCGACUCGCUGACUCUGUCGUCUGGGUGGCUGCCACAUCAGUUCCCCGAAUCUACGGUGCUGCCAGCCACCGCCAUUCCGUUGCCUUGGAUUUGGUUGUGGCGUGGGCUGGGAACAGUACAGUGUUGUCUGAUGUGUCAUAUGAGCCGGAGGUUUGGUCAGCUGACGCUGGGCAUGAGCAGCUCCUGAGACUGAGACUAGUCAUAGUGGGAGUAACUUAAACCACAACAGGAAUUAUGGAAGGGGAGUAACAUACAAGCCACAUACGCAAAAAAGGUGGUGUGACAAGUAAUUAAAGAGGAUGGAUGGAUGGAUGUUUGCAUGCAUGUAAUGGGUAUCGUGGUCAUGUUGCUUGGUGUGUAGAGCCCAGUCGGGAGAUCAACCUCCUUUUGGGGAAAAAAAUGAGGGGCGAUGAUGAUGACUCUGGCUGAAAUAAUCAUUCCUUGAGCGAUCAAAGACAGCUCCGCCGCCGGCCUCGCCCCAGGCUGCGACGCGGUUCCUGCUCGGCCCUGACCGAGCCCAAGGUAGCUCCGCCGCCGUCCUCCCUCCUCUUUCCUCCAAUCUCCCUCCCUCUCAUCUCCUCUGUUCACUCACCAACCAGCAGCUAUCUAUGCCAAAUAUUGCUUGCUCGGGGGGUUAUGCAAUGGCCACUGGUGUCCCACUGGGAAAACCUAUUGUUGUGGAAGCCAAAGACAAAUCCAAAGUCAUGGAGGGACAAGGAACAACUGAUGAGGUAUUUGAACAUGUUCCUAGUGGAUCUAACUUUGUACUUCCUACUGCUAGUGCCACUCAGGAUCCUUCACCUACUUCAACUAAGAAGAGAAAGAGGACAUCUGUUUUGACUAAGGAAGACUAUCCAGUGUAGCAACAUGACUGAUGCUAUGCGUGAGAUUGCACGUGCCAUCAACAACACCUGUCAUGCUGAAACACAUCCUGGCUUGUAUAAGGCUGUCAUGGACCUUAUUGUGUUUGACCAGAAUGAGCGCUUGGCUGUCUUAGAUUAUCUCACAGAACAAGGGUCACCGAUUCCGGCUCACCCUUACCUCUCUUGCAGCCUGUUCAAUUCAUCUAUGAUGUUGUAUGUUCCGUGCCUCGGACGGUCGUUCUGAUGAGUGAUAACCAGGGCAGUUCUAUUACAUCAUGAUGGGUGGAUUAUGCAGCAAGAGAGUGAGUGCUGGGUUUGAAGAUGAAAGACAAAACUGAACCAUCAAUUUUUCACCUUUUAAUUGCAUUUUGUUUUGGACCCUCCCUCCCUCCCUCGGGCAGCCGCCGCAGAUGAAACAUCAGGGGCUGGCGGCUUGCGGUGUGGAUCGUGGGGCGGCUGGGAAUUUGGGUGUACUACCUGAUGGAAUUUUCACAAUUCAGUUCCGCUGGACAUGACCUGCUGUGGCUGGGAACUUUGAAUCCCUCUCCGCUUGAGCUCUUACUGAAUGUGGAGGGAAUACAUAUGAAACUACACUUGCGUUCCAAAGAGGCCCUUAAAUCGUAAUUACCAUCUCUUCUCUCUUGUGAGCUCUAAUGGCCUUCCAGCUGCUGAUACUGUACUUAGCUGUAGAUGUUCUGUAUCUUAUCCGACCUAAUUUUGACCCUUAUCUGUUGCAUGCGCAAAGGGAUCUUUGAUUAUUCAAUUUUUUCCUACACAUUUUAUUGGUUUUGCGGUACGUCAACCAGUUCUGUUGUUUUGGGAACAGUACUCUAGCCGCACUUAUUGUUGUCUUCUGUUCUUCUUUUUUCCUGAAUGGCUAUGAUAACUCCGCUGUCCGUUGGAUUGUUCUUGAAACUAUCUUAUUUGGUGUUGGGUCAGUUUGCUUGUUUCAAUUGCUAUUUGACUUGAUAAAUUCAUUCUUCUGCUGUACUCUUUAUCUACUUAUCAGUUUGUACCUUUGGUUUCUCGUUACUUCUUUACUGGUUUCAACUUAAGGGUCGUAUAGGGCAAGUUAAGAUUACUGUUUCCUUCAUGUAAUGUUUAUGAAUGGCUAUGAUGAUAUAGCUUCCCUGCGAGAGCUUCUGUCCAACACCUGAAUUGAUUACUUGGUGCUAAACUAGGAUGGCUUGUGUCAUAGCAAGUAACCAGUUCAGCGGCUAACUAUUACUCCCUCCGUUCACAAAUAUAAGAUGUUCACUCAUGGUGUCAAGAUGGUGGUAUAUCUGAGCCAUUUACUUUUACAUGUCCCGGUUUUUGUGUCUACCAGUUCAUGACUUGCUCCUGAUGUAGUGUUUCUUUCUGCUUUCACCGAUUCUCCUGUGGUUUAUGGUCAUCUUGCGCUCUUUGACUAUUGGCUUCUCUGCUAUUCUCUUUGUGAUUUUGCCAAGUGCUGUUGAUGGCGAUGAUGAGUAAGGCUCAUUUAGAGGUGGUACUGAGAUCAGAUACCAUCGCUUGUUUUCAUGGUAUUGUUUAGGGUUAGGGUUUUGUGUGACCAGGUGUAAGCGUGCAAAUCGGGAGAGCUUGCUUUCUGUGAGCUACCAUUUCAAUACCGAAUUGUCACACAGUGGAUCGGAUACAGAGUUGGUUUUGCCCAUAUGAUAGACUGGGCCAACUCUGAGCCUCCCAUUUUCUUUUUAAAUAUGACCUCUCUUUCUACAAUUUGUGGUUAUGUGCUUAUGUAUAAUCUUCUCAAUCUGUAAAUGAUUUAUAGCAGUAUUGGGAUCUCACUGUAAUACUCCCUCCGUCCCAAAAUAAGUGUCGCUGCUUUAGUAUUAAAUUUGUACCUUGGUACAAAAUUUGCGACACUUAUUUGGGACGGAGGGAGUAUAUGUUAUCAAAUUCGACACUUAUGAGAUAUGCUCAUAGCGAACUGGAUGUUGAGCCGUUUUAUGCUUUACAUACUCAGAAUGCUUUGAACUGCUGAUGCAUCAAGAGGUUCUACUUUGUUUUAAUAAAAAACAAUCCUGUGUGCUGAGAGGGAGGGCCCUGGACGCGGCAGAGGGCUUCACAUCUUUUGUUCAAACAAUGCUAUUAUUUGCAACUGUACGCCCACUUUGUUACUUCUACGUUCUGUUUCUUUGCUCAGUGUUCCUGCAUUUUAUUUCGCGCAAGGUUUUCUUCCGUUUCAUACCGUUAUAUUGUAUAAAUCGUGCUAUGUUGCUCCUUUUCAUUCAUGCAUCUGCUGCACUAUGGCACCUCAAGCGUCAAACAAAAAAGCUACUCCCUCCGUCUCAAAAUAUGGUCUUAACUUUGUACUAACUUUAGUACAAAGUUACACUAAGCUUUAGACAUUUAUUUUGAGACGGAGGGAGUACUGCAUUUGGUCUUUGAUGUCAACAUAUGCUCCCUCCGUCCCACAAAUAUGUUUUUGCAAAUAGCUUGCAAAAAUCUCUACAUUAUGGGACGGAGGGUGUAUUUAUUUAGUUUUGAGUACCCAUUUAUAUGUGGUAUACAUCAUGUGCAAGCUAAUCUAUGCACUCCCCCUAUUUCUAUGUUUGCCUCUUGUGUGAUUCCACCUUGCCCUCUUUCUAUGCACAGGUGAUAUUUCCGGUAGUAUGUGAUUUGAACUUCAUUUUGUUUACUUGAACCAAAAACAUUGUACUCUACAUCUUGAUCUCGUGUAGUUAAUUCCUCAUAUUUAUGUGGGUUACUUUUGAACCACUAAUAACUUUGAUGACAUAUAAUUUUCAUGUAAUGCAGUAUAUGGGAAUGUACAAGCAUAUAAACUGGAUAUUUCCUAGAAAUCUCAAUAUUAGAUAAUCACUAGCUGCAAGCGUAUACACUGGAUGGCUUGUCGUGGGCUAGCACUCUUGCACGGUAUGCACCACCAUGAAAAUACUCCCAAGUCUGAAUUCUGGUCAUAUAUGCUUGGUCAGUGGUUUGUAUCUGUUACUCUUCCAAUCUUCGGCAGCGGUGGAGACUUUUGGGAUCAGCAGCCGUAGAAGAUGCAGGGCAAAGGCUUAGAAGGGGUUUCUCGUAAUUUUAGCAGAUGUCAGUUGGCUCAGAAUUACGAACGUAAUUUUAGCAGAUGUCAGUUGGCUCAGAAUUACGAACGAGGCUUUAACGCAGCUGUACUGUCAUAUACAACAUGUAUAUAUAUAACAGUGAAUAACAUUAAACACCCUAGUUUUGAAAA
Hordeum vulgare subsp. vulgare (domesticated barley) is the source of this 7105-nucleotide long non-coding RNA. RefSeq lists it as uncharacterized. Lineage: Eukaryota; Viridiplantae; Streptophyta; Magnoliopsida; Poales; Poaceae. The transcript has 2 exons. The record is from RefSeq and is a predicted model, not a curated record.